This 1211-nucleotide long non-coding RNA is filed under the name Capsicum annuum. RNAcentral describes it as "long non-coding RNA (CANN_LNC004946)". Lineage: Eukaryota; Viridiplantae; Streptophyta; Magnoliopsida; Solanales; Solanaceae. The record is from RNAcentral.
CAUCCAUGAUUUUAGUAAGAUAGUUUUUCGACCAGAGAUUAUUAGUUGUUUUUAGGAUUCUUAGCGCAUCCAUUGUAGAUGAAGUUUAUAUGUUGGAGAUUCAAUGUUUCAGUGUUACUUUUCCCUGGAAUUAAAAGCAAAUGGAUAAGAAGCCAAGAACUUGAGAUUUUCUCUUUUUCAAAAAAAAUGACAAAUAUUUGGGAUGUGGAGGAAAGAAUUGAAUAUCAAUGUCAUUAUGGGAUGAUGGGGCCAGCCACAAGAGGGUUCAUCCGAAUUCUCUUUCUUGAAAAUAUUAAAUUGCAUUUAGAGGAUAAAAAAUAAUAUCUUUUUGUAAUUAUGUAGUAAAUGUCGUUGAAUUCUCUUGGCUUCUUCUUUUUGUAUUUACUUCUCUAUUGAAGUCCAAUUAGUAAAAAUUCUUGCUCCUCUACUAAAUAAUUAGGCAUGUUUUUCUGUAUGUAGGAGUACGGUAGUACAAAUUAUCUCCACCUACAUUUGUAUUCUUUCUUUGGUUGUUGUACGGUCAUUUUUAUAAUUUAGACAUGCAUAAGCAAUGGUCAUUCGCCUCGCCAGAGCAACAUAUAACCAUAAUCUCAAUUUAGUGCCAAAUUCAUACCUAGAGCCAAAAUAUUCUCUUGUAAUUGGACAUCACAUUACUACUAUUUGGUAGUCAUAAGAGCCAAAUUAUUCUUGAAAGAACAACAGUUAUCCACUUUGCAAUGCUAACCAAAUUUUAUCAUAGGCACAAUAACUGGUACAUCAGAUAUGCGUCCUUCUCAAUCUUCUCGUACUUAUUCAAGAUAUAUAAAUAUUUGCAAUCUAGAUUUUAGCUUGUAAUCAUUUUCCUUCCAAUCCAAGAAUAUAAUGAAUAAGUAUUACGAAAUUGGAUCGAUUAAAUCUCUAAAUAUAUGCAUGGAAGAUAGAAUUAUAUACUUGUUUGUUUAAAUUUAGUAGCUAGUGAAAUAUCCAAAGCAAAUAUAAGGUCCUGUCUACAAUCUAAUACUAUUUGUGGUUGUAGGUAAACAAUUGAUUCACAUUCUUUCAAUAUUUAUCUCCUUCAAUUUUGAAUUUGGUGGAAGUUUUUUAUGAACUCUGGACCAUAUAUGUUCUUGCAAUAGUUAUGGCCUAAAUUCUCCCUACAUGGAGAAUAUAUAUGAGUUUUGAAUAAUACAAAACAUAUGUGUCAACAUUGUAAAGUUACUUACACAUUCGAC